AUUGAACGCUGGCGGCAUGCCUUACACAUGCAAGUCGAACGGUAACAGGUUAAGCUGACGAGUGGCGAACGGGUGAGUAAUGUAUCGGAACGUGCCCAUUCGUGGGGGAUAACUGCUCGAAAGCGCAGCUAAUACCGCAUACGACCUGAGGGUGAAAGCGGCGGAUAGCAAGACCUCGCGCGAUUGGAGCGGCCGAUAUCAGAUUAGGUAGUAGGUGAGGUAAAGGCUCACCAAGCCGACGAUCUGUAGAUGGUCUGAGAGGAAGAACAGCCACACUGGGACAGAGAAACGGCCCAGACUCCGACGGGAGGCAGCAGUGGGGAAUUUUGGGCAAUGGGCGAAAGCCUGAUCCAGCCAUGCCGCGUGAGGGAAGAAGGCCUUCGGGUUGUAAAGCGCUGUUGGCAGGGAAGAAAAGGUUCUGGCUAAUACCGGGAAAUAAUGACGGUACCUGAAGAAUAAGCACCGGCUAACUACGUG
This 477-nucleotide ribosomal RNA is filed under the name uncultured bacterium. RNAcentral describes it as "partial 16S ribosomal RNA". It matches the Rfam family "Bacterial small subunit ribosomal RNA", at positions 29 to 507 of the family's 1533-position model. The record is from RNAcentral.